This 484-nucleotide ribosomal RNA is filed under the name uncultured bacterium. RNAcentral's name for it is "partial 16S ribosomal RNA". It matches the Rfam family "Bacterial small subunit ribosomal RNA", at positions 30 to 507 of the family's 1533-position model. The record is from RNAcentral.
AUUGAACGCUGGCGGCAGGCCUAACACAUGCCAGUCGAGCGGAUGAAGGGAGCUUGCUCCUGGAUUCAGCGGCGGACGGGUGAGUAAUGCCUAGGAAUCUGCCUGGUAGUGGGGGAUAACGUCCGGAAACGGGCGCUAAUACCGCAUACGUUCUGAGGGAGAAAGUGGGGGAUCUUCGGACCUCACGCUAUCAGAUGAGCCUAGGUCGGAUUAGCUAGUUGGUGGGGUAAAGGCCUACCAAGGCGACGAUCCGUAACUGGUCUGAGAGGAUGAUCAGUCACACUGGAACUGAGACACGGUCCAGACUCCUACGGGAGGCAGCAGUGGGGAAUAUUGGACAAUGGGCGAAAGCCUGAUCCAGCCAUGCCGCGUGUGUGAAGAAGGUCUUCGGAUUGUAAAGCACUUUAAGUUGGGAGGAAGGGCAGUAAGUUAAUACCUUGCUGUUUUGACGUUACCAACAGAAUAAGCACCGGCUAACUUCGUG